AAGAUGUUAUGAAAUGAAAUUCUAGAAAUUGAUGGUGUAAAACUAAACAUGGGUUGUCAAUUUUGAUUUUUUUUUUGUAGAUGGAUAGCAUGACGAUUGAUGAUUCUGAGUUUGAGCUCUGUAGCGUAACGGCUUUAUCACCCUUGGAUGGUCGAUAUUGGAAAAAGGUUAAAGAUUUGGCUCCGUUUAUGAGUGAAUACGGUCUUAUUCAUUUCCGUGUUAUAGUGGAGGUCAAAUGGCUGAUAAAGCUUUCACAAAUUCCGGAAAUAACAGAGGUCCCCAGUUUCGGCAAGGAUGCCCUGUCUUUCCUGGAAGGAGUUAUUGAUGGGUUUGGUGUGAGUGAUGCUUUGGAGGUGAAAAAGAUUGAGAGAGUUACGAAUCACGACGUGAAAGCAGUAGAAUACUUUCUGAAACAAAAAUGUCAAUCCCAUCCGGAGAUUGCAAAGGUACUUGAGUUUUUCCAUUUUGCUUGUACAUCAGAGGAUAUCAAUAAUUUGGCUCACGCGUUGAUGCUAAAAGGGGCCUUAAAUACAGUGAUAUUACCUGUCAUGGAUGAUUUGAUUAGAGCUUUAUGUAAGAUGGCAAAAGACAAUGCUCAUGUUCCUAUGCUCUCUCGCACUCAUGGACAGCCAGCUACACCAACUACUCUGGGAAAAGAAAUGGCAAUUUUUGCUGCUAGAUUAAGCAAACAAAGACUUGAUCUAUCUAAAGUUGCUAUACUGGGCAAGUUUGCUGGUGCUUCUGGAAAUUACAAUGCGCAUCUUGUCGCAUACCCCGAGCUAAGCUGGCCUCGAGUUGCCGAGGAGUUUGUAGAAUCUCUAGGAUUAAGUUUCAACCCCUAUGUGACUCAGAUUGAGCCUCAUGAUUAUAUGGCAGAACUGUUCAAUGCAAUUAAACAGUUUAAUGUUAUAUUGAUGGACUUUGACAAGGAUGUAUGGGGCUACGUGUCUUUAGGAUUCUUUAAGCAGAUUACAAAGGCUGGUGAGGUUGGAUCUUCUACCAUGCCUCAUAAGGUGAAUCCCAUAGAUUUUGAAAACAGUGAGGGUAAUCUUGGGUUGGCCAAUGAUGGACUAUCUCACCUGAGCACAAAGUUGCCUAUCUCGCGCUGGCAGCGUGACCUUACUGAUUCAACUGUUCUAAGGAAUAUGGGUGUGGGAUUAGGGCAUUCUCUUCUUGCUUACAGAAGUGCCCUCCAGGGCAUUGGAAAGCUUCAAGUAAAUGAAGCUCGCCUAAGUGAAGAUUUGGAUCUAUGCUGGGAAGUUCUUGCUGAGCCCAUACAGACUGUGAUGCGAAGAAAUGGUGUUCCCGAACCCUACGAGAAGCUGAAGGAACUAACCAGAGGGAAAGGAAUCUCUAAAGAUAGCAUCAGAGAAUUCAUUUUAGGUUUAGAGAUCCCUGCGGAUGCAAAAGCUAAUCUUUUGGAACUUACACCCCACACCUACAUCAGCGAAGCAGCCAGUUUAGCUAAUGAUGUUGAUAAGUUUGUUGAUCUAGUGAAUGGUGUUCAUGCCUUAUAAUAGGAGGAACCCAUGACCCAUCCAAUUUGUGUGUAUUUCCAGAAAUUCCGCAAUUCAACCUCGCGAUAAACCUAAGUAAACAAACAUGAGCAGCUGAUUAAUUCCUGGCAUGCUCCUGUGUUUUAUGAUUUUUGAAAUGAGUUUUUACUCUUUGUACACUUCAUUGAAGAUACAGUUUUCCCCUAAUCCAGUUAUCUUCACGUGCAAAAUCUCUGCUAGCUGUUGUUAUUUUCUUCUGUUUCGUCUUGUUAAUGAUUGUAAUGAAAUGAGAUGGGUGUUUUUAGAUUGAAUGCUAGGUCUUUAGAGUGCAUAUUGCUUAGUGGGUUAAUGCACUUAUGUUAACGGUAAGAAAAGGCGGCGUGAGUUUAUCAUCGCACUAUGACUUCUGAAGUUUUAGUACUGAUUGAAGCGGCUGCGAAUAAAUGCAUGAUUGUAUAUUCGGGUGAUGUAUUUUACAGGCGAAACUCCCCUGUGCGAAGCGGCUAUUGAAGGACGUGUGAGCGCUGUAGCAUAUCUCCUGAGAAUGGGAAUAUGCAUCCUUUGCAUCUUGCCACUAUGAAAGGACAUAAAGAUGUCGUAAUCUUGUUACUAUCAAAAGGCAUUCAUGUAGAUGUUUCAAAUGAUUUUGGCUCACCCCUUCAAUUUGCUUGCUAUUAUGGGCAUGACGAUAUAGUUAAGCUUCUUUUGCAUCGAAAUGCCAAUCCCAUUUGCUAUUCAACGAGGCGACUACUUCUCUUCAGGCAGCCAUCCAUUCCAAAUCUUGGCAAUGUGUGGAGUAUCUACUCAAGGCAGGUGUUGAUCCAAAUGGUGGACCAGAUGGAGUAAAAGCUCUACCAUUUGCAGCUGAAGUGGGGGUAUUACAAAUCAUCAAGCUGCUAGUUGAAGCCGGUGCAGAUCCAAAUGUUACGGAUAUUCAUGGACUAAAGCCAGUAGAAACAGCAGCUUUCCAUGGUAAUCGUUGAGGUGUUGAGAUUCUCUUUCCUGUGACAUCUCCUAUUCCAUCGUAUACGGACUGGAGCAUUGAUGGAGUAAUGAGGCAUGCAGAUUCUGGGAUGUCCACAUUAACGGGAAUGGAUGGAUUAGUUCAAACUGGGCAAAAAGAAAAAAAUGGAAGAGAAGGGUAUUUUAGGGAUUUAAAAAAUGGCUCCAACUAGGAAAUUAAAAUUAGUUUCAUCAGUGAAAA
This is an RNA transcript of Papaver somniferum (opium poppy), 2700 nucleotides long. It is a transcript of the gene named adenylosuccinate lyase-like, with no coding region annotated. NCBI's taxonomy places the organism in Eukaryota, Viridiplantae, Streptophyta, Magnoliopsida, Ranunculales, Papaveraceae. The transcript has 14 exons. The record is from RefSeq and is a predicted model, not a curated record.